Molecule: transfer RNA, 73 nt
Filed under: Mustela putorius furo (domestic ferret)
Lineage: Eukaryota; Metazoa; Chordata; Mammalia; Carnivora; Mustelidae
Rfam family: tRNA
About the family: Transfer RNA (tRNA) molecules are approximately 80 nucleotides in length. Their secondary structure includes four short double-helical elements and three loops (D, anti-codon, and T loops). Further hydrogen bonds mediate the characteristic L-shaped molecular structure. tRNAs have two regions of fundamental functional importance: the anti-codon, which is responsible for specific mRNA codon recognition, and the 3' end, to which the tRNAs corresponding amino acid is attached (by aminoacyl-tRNA synthetases). tRNAs cope with the degeneracy of the genetic code in two manners: having more than one tRNA (with a specific anti-codon) for a particular amino acid; and 'wobble' base-pairing, i.e. permitting non-standard base-pairing at the 3rd anti-codon position.
Source: Rfam by way of RNAcentral
GCCUGGCUGGCUCAGUUGAAAGAGUGUGUGAGUUUUGAUCUCGGAGUUGUGAGUUUGAGUCCCAUGUUGGGUA